UGGGGAAUUUUGGACAAUGGGGGCAACCCUGAUCCAGCCAUGCCGCGUGAGUGAAGAAGGCCUUCGGGUUGUAAAGCUCUUUCGGCCGGGAAGAAAUCGUAUCAGCUAAUACCUGGUGCGGAUGACGGUACCGGCAUAAGAAGCACCGGCUAACUACGUGCCAGCAGCCGCGGUAAUACGUAGGGUGCGAGCGUUAAUCGGAAUUACUGGGCGUAAAGCGUGCGCAGGCGGUUUUGUAAGACAGGCGUGAAAUCCCCGGGCUCAACCUGGGAACUGCGUUUGUGACUGCAAGGCUAGAGUACGGCAGAGGGGGGUGGAAUUCCACGUGUAGCAGUGAAAUGCGUAGAGAUGUGGAGGAACACCAAUGGCGAAGGCAGCCCCCUGGGUCGAUACUGACGCUCAUGCACGAAAGCGUGGGUAGCAAACAGG
This 429-nucleotide ribosomal RNA is filed under the name uncultured bacterium. RNAcentral describes it as "bacterial SSU rRNA". It matches the Rfam family "Bacterial small subunit ribosomal RNA", at positions 355 to 776 of the family's 1533-position model. The record is from RNAcentral.